AAAUUGAAGAGUUUGAUCAUGGCUCAGAUUGAACGCUGGCGGCAGGCCUAACACAUGCAAGUCGAACGGUAACAGGAAGCAGCUUGCUGCUUUGCUGACGAGUGGCGGACGGGUGAGUAAUGUCUGGGAAACUGCCUGAUGGAGGGGGAUAACUACUGGAAACGGUGGCUAAUACCGCAUAACGUCGCAAGACCAAAGAGGGGGACCUUCGGGCCUCUUGCCAUCAGAUGUGCCCAGAUGGGAUUAGCUUGUUGGUGAGGUAACGGCUCACCAAGGCGACGAUCCCUAGCUGGUCUGAGAGGAUGACCAGCCACACUGGAACUGAGACACGGUCCAGACUCCUACGGGAGGCAGCAGUGGGGAAUAUUGCACAAUGGGCGCAAGCCUGAUGCAGCCAUGCCGCGUGUAUGAAGAAGGCCUUCGGGUUGUAAAGUACUUUCAGCGGGGAGGAAGGUGUUGCGGUUAAUAACCGCAGCAAUUGACGUUACCCGCAGAAGAAGCACCGGCUAACUCCGUGCCAGCAGCCGCGGUAAUACGGAGGGUGCAAGCGUUAAUCGGAAUUACUGGGCGUAAAGCGCACGCAGGCGGUCUGUCAAGUCGGAUGUGAAAUCCCCGGGCUCAACCUGGGAACUGCAUUCGAAACUGGCAGGCUUGAGUCUUGUAGAGGGGGUAGAAUUCCAGGUGUAGCGGUGAAAUGCGUAGAGAUCUGGAGGAAUACCGGUGGCGAAGGCGGCCCCCUGGACAAAGACUGACGCUCAGGUGCGAAAGCGUGGGGAGCAAACAGGAUUAGAUACCCUGGUAGUCCACGCCGUAAACGAUGUCUACUUGGAGGUUGUGCCCUUGAGGCGUGGCUUCCGGAGCUAACGCGUUAAGUAGACCGCCUGGGGAGUACGGCCGCAAGGUUAAAAUCAAAUGAAUUGACGGGGGCCCGCACAAGCGGUGGAGCAUGUGGUUUAAUUCGAUGCAACGCGAAGAACCUUACCUGGUCUUGACAUCCACAGAACUUUCCAGAGAUGGAUUGGUGCCUUCGGGAACUGUGAGACAGGUGCUGCAUGGCUGUCGUCAGCUCGUGUUGUGAAAUGUUGGGUUAAGUCCCGCAACGAGCGCAACCCUUAUCCUUUGUUGCCAGCGAUUAGGUCGGGAACUCAAAGGAGACUGCCAGUGAUAAACUGGAGGAAGGUGGGGAUGACGUCAAGUCAUCAUGGCCCUUACGACCAGGGCUACACACGUGCUACAAUGGCGCAUACAAAGAGAAGCGACCUCGCGAGAGCAAGCGGACCUCAUAAAGUGCGUCGUAGUCCGGAUUGGAGUCUGCAACUCGACUCCAUGAAGUCGGAAUCGCUAGUAAUCGUGGAUCAGAAUGCCACGGUGAAUACGUUCCCGGGCCUUGUACACACCGCCCGUCACACCAUGGGAGUGGGUUGCAAAAGAAGUAGGUAGCUUAACCUUCGGGAGGGCGCUUACCACUUUGUGAUUCAUGACUGGGGUGAAGUCGUAACAAGGUAACCGUAGGGGAACCUGCGGUUGGAUCACCUCCUUA
Molecule: ribosomal RNA, 1540 nt
Filed under: Salmonella enterica subsp. enterica serovar Typhimurium
Lineage: Bacteria; Pseudomonadati; Pseudomonadota; Gammaproteobacteria; Enterobacterales; Enterobacteriaceae
Description: bacterial SSU rRNA
Rfam family: Bacterial small subunit ribosomal RNA
Source: RNAcentral